Molecule: long non-coding RNA, 3543 nt
Filed under: Cottoperca gobio
Lineage: Eukaryota; Metazoa; Chordata; Actinopteri; Perciformes; Bovichtidae
Description: lncRNA (ENSCGOG00000014170.1)
Source: RNAcentral
CUGGUGAUGAGGCGGUAGUGUAUUGUUGUGAAAUGAAUACCACUCAACAGGGUGACUCAUUGUUUGCUGUGUUUUCAAUAAGCACUGGAGACCAACAUGCGCCUGGCACCUGGCCUUCAGUGGGUUCGUGACAACAUAGCGGCCUUUAGCGGAGACCCAAAUUCAGUCACUAUCUCCGGACAAUCUGCAGGUGGCAUCAGUGUCUCUAUGUUGUUUAAGGCAUUUUUGGGUCCAGCUAUUGACGGAGUGUUCCUGAAAGGCCCACCUGAAGACGUUUAAAGGACAAAGAAUUCCAGAAAGUUCCUAAGCUGAUCGGAGUGACCACUCAUGAGUUUGGAUGGAUGCUCCCACAGCUCCUCGGACCUACUGGAUGGGAUCAAGGUAUGAAGAGGGAAGAUGUGAUAUCAGUGAUGAACAUGUUCUUCCCCUCCCGUGUCUCCAAAUGGUGGAUUACGACCACGACGAAAACUACCUGAAGCUGAACCUGAAGCUGAACCUGCAGCAGAGCCGUCGGCCGAGGACUGAAACGGAACAGAGCUCACUUCCUUGAUGUUGUGCUGCUUGAUAAACUAAAGUCUCACAAUGCUACUGAUGAACUGUGAUCGGAGACGUCCACAAAGGGCGAGGAGGUCGUUGAAUUUCACGAUUUGUUAUCAAGUGUGCAACGUCUUUGCAACUGGAUGUAGUUAUGGUUAAUCUGGCGGACCUCCCAGUUCGGACUUGUAGCUCGAUCUGUGCAGGUGCAUUCAGGUACAGGCCGCGGUGUCCGAGUCGCCUGGAAAAAUAGAGACGCUGAAUUUAAGUCUUUAGGCCUUUAAUUCCAUAUUUACUGUAGUGAACAUGGCAGAAAACUAGAUUAUCAACUCCAGACGGUGUGUUGUACCUGAGAUUUGAGGGCAUGUAGCUCACUGUGAACUUUUCUAAACUUCAUCUCUAGUUCCAGGUAUUUGCUUUUAAGCUUCUCCCUGUCCUUGCGCUCAGUCAAGAAGUCUUCCUUGUAGACUUCUGCCUGAAAAUGGACAGAAAAGGAAACAUGAUAUCAGCAUUCAUACCACUCUCAUGCUACGUAUGAUGGAUAGCUUAGCUUAGCAAAAAAAAAACUCAAAACAGAUGGAAACAGCUAGCCUGGCUCUGUCCAAAUGUUAAACAUAAUAUUAGAACAUCUGGACCACCUCCACUGUUAUAUUAUUAUUGGACUGUGGACAGAGCCAGGCUAGCUGUUUCCCCUGGUUUCCAGUCUUUAUGCUAAGCUAAGCUAACCGCCCGUAGCUUCAUAUUCUGGGAGUGGUAUUUCUCACCUAGCUAAAUUAAAAGCCAAUAAGUGUAUGUAUAAAAAUGCAGAUAUAUGAUGAUGAACAAAGCUCACCUGCUGUUCCCAGACAUCGAGAGGUUGAGUAGUCUGACUUGCCUCCUUUAAAGCCUGUACGAACAUAUUAAAAGCAACUAUGACACCACUGUUGUUGCAGGGAACAAACACUGAAAACUCUUCACUUUGAUAGGUUACAUUCCAGGACUCACCUUGUUCAAUCUUCUGAUCUCCUCUUCCUGAUGAUGCAAUCUUCGGGUCUGAGUGUCGUUUUGUGCUCGCAGCUCCGUCGCCUUCUUUUCUGCUUUUAGUAACUCCUCCACAAUCUGUGAGAAAUUUCCCCACGAGGAUGGAAUUAUUAUUCACAUUUUUACAGAUUGUAUCGUUAAAAAACGCCUUAUAUUUAAACCAGGAAUUACAAUACAUGCUCUCAUUUACCCAUGUGUUCUCUUCUUCUGUGACUUUCUCGUUUAACGUGACGUUCUUUUCUCCUUCUCCACACUUCUCCGCUGCCGAGUGAUCGCCUUGCAGUAAUGCUUGUAAGUCUUGGACCUGACACGAAACACAAGGCAUGAAAGCACUGACGAGACAUAGAAUUAAACAAGCUGUCAAGUGCGGAAUCAAACAAGGGCCGUGAACUUACCUUCUCUUUCAUGGCGUAGUACUCUAUAGCCCAUUUCUCAUUAAUACAGAGAAGCUGAGUAAAGGAGAAAGAGCAUGAGAGUUUUGAGUACUUAAAAAAGGUACAUGUGUGUUUUAGUGUGUAUAUGAAUCAAACUUCUGCUAAAUUAACUCACCUCGUGCAUUUUCCUCUCCAAGAUAAGUAUCUGGGCUUUCAUUCUGAUGUCACUGCCGGCAGCCGACGCUCCUGACUGAAGAAAUAAAAGAGGAACUCUUCAUAUGUGGCUCACGGUUUGCCCAUCCGUGACUGCACGGGCAAUUAUGCAAUAUGACCCGUAUCCCCGAACUUCCUUUUACACAUUUUUGGAAGUUUUGCUUUAGAGUGUUUCCAGUAACACAAAGAACAUGUUAAUUUCUUCGCGGUCAGGGAAUCAGAUGGUGACAGCGUGAUUAUUAUCCUCUCAGACGUACCUUCCAACGUUGCAUCUGUUAUUAUUACCUGAGUGUCUCUGCGCAGGCUGUUGGGAUGAUACCCUGCAGCUGUGUGAAGCUUUUCUCCAGUGGAGUGGUCCGCCACACCAACCUCGUCUCUGUAAACAUUUGAUCACAUAGACAAAAAAUUAGCGUUAUUUUGCCUUUUAUUUAUAGCAUCAAGCCAGCAGAUGUAACUAAGUACAUUUACUUGAGUUAUUCCAUUUUAUGCUUCCUUACACUGCAACUCCACUACAUUUCAGAGGCAAAUAUUGUACUUCACUACAUUUAUUUAACACAUUUAAAAAAAAACAUAUACUUAUAUGACAUGAUGCAGCACUACCAAUCUACCCACUAGUGCACACUAUACCUAAACUUGGCUCCACAGUGCUGAACUGCAACAUUAAAAUGCUCUUACAUGGACUUGUUAAUGAUAAAAAACAGAAUAUAAUAUUCUAUAAUAAUAUAACAGCAGCCAUUAUGCUAAGUGAGUACUUUUACUUAUGAUACUUUAAGUACAUUUUGCUGGUGAUACUUUUCUACUUUUACUUAACUAACAUUCUAAAUACAGGACUUUUAUUUGUGAAGUAUUUUGAGACUAGUAUUUAAAAUUCAAGUAGUAAUAUAUUAUCUACCUGUACUUUCGUAGUGAUGGAUACAGUCUGUGUGUCUGUCUGCUGUGUGUAGUCUGAGAUCUCUCCACAGGUGAGCUGUCCAUUGUGUUUUCAUGUAGUGACUGUCAAAGCAAAAAGGAGGACAUACAUUAUACAUAACAGCCAUUUUUAUAUCCCUACAUCUAACAUUCAUAUGUUAUGAAUUGACGAAAGAAAGAUCUGCCUCCGGGGGAUCUUAUGCUUUAUUAAUAUUUAUUUAUGUUUUUAUCCAAAUUGUUUCUUUUAUGUUUUUAAUAUAUAUAUCUGACUGACGUUGUUUCCCUAUAACACUUUGUUUUUCUUUACUUCAAUUGUAUUGAAAAAAGAUUAAUUUGAAUUCAUCAAUAAAUAUGUAAUAUAUAAACAAAAAAGCAUAAUCCCCCCAAUUUUUAAUAUAUAUAUUAUAUAUAUAUAAUAUAUAUAUUAUAUAUACAUUAUAUAUAUAUAUAUAUAAUAUAUAUUAUAUAUAUAUAUAUAUAUAUAUAUAUAGAA